GUGAGGAAUAUUGGUCAAUGGACGAGAGUCUGAACCAGCCAAGUCGCGUGAAGGAAGAAGGAUCUAUGGUUCGUAAACUUCUUUUGCAGGGGAAUAAAGUGCAGGACGUGUCCUGUUUUGUAUGUACCCUGAGAAUAAGGAUCGGCUAACUCCGUGCCAGCAGCCGCGGUAAUACGGAGGAUCCGAGCGUUAUCCGGAUUUAUUGGGUUUAAAGGGUGCGUAGGUGGUUUGAUAAGUCAGCGGUGAAAGUUUGCAGCUUAACUGUAAAAAUGCCGUUGAAACUGUCGGACUUGAGUGUAAAUGAGGUAGGCGGAAUGCGUGGUGUAGCGGUGAAAUGCAUAGAUAUCACGCAGAACUCCGAUUGCGAAGGCAGCUUACUAAGCUACAACUGACACUGAAGCACGAAAGCGUGGGGAUCAAACAGGAUUAGAUACCCGGGUAGUCC
Molecule: ribosomal RNA, 445 nt
Filed under: uncultured bacterium
Lineage: Bacteria
Description: partial 16S ribosomal RNA
Rfam family: Bacterial small subunit ribosomal RNA
Source: RNAcentral